This 72-nucleotide transfer RNA is filed under the name Loxodonta africana (African savanna elephant). It matches the Rfam family "tRNA". From Rfam's summary of the family: Transfer RNA (tRNA) molecules are approximately 80 nucleotides in length. Their secondary structure includes four short double-helical elements and three loops (D, anti-codon, and T loops). Further hydrogen bonds mediate the characteristic L-shaped molecular structure. tRNAs have two regions of fundamental functional importance: the anti-codon, which is responsible for specific mRNA codon recognition, and the 3' end, to which the tRNAs corresponding amino acid is attached (by aminoacyl-tRNA synthetases). tRNAs cope with the degeneracy of the genetic code in two manners: having more than one tRNA (with a specific anti-codon) for a particular amino acid; and 'wobble' base-pairing, i.e. permitting non-standard base-pairing at the 3rd anti-codon position. Lineage: Eukaryota; Metazoa; Chordata; Mammalia; Proboscidea; Elephantidae. The record is from Rfam by way of RNAcentral.
GCCUGGGUAGCUCAUCGGUAGAGCAUCACACUUUUAAUCUGAGGAUUCAGGGUUCAAGUCCCUACUCAGGGG